This 343-nucleotide unclassified non-coding RNA is filed under the name fungal sp. Its description in RNAcentral is "partial internal transcribed spacer region". The stretch from base 1 to 46 matches the Rfam family "Eukaryotic small subunit ribosomal RNA", at positions 1786 to 1831 of the family's 1831-position model. The record is from RNAcentral. Lineage: Eukaryota; Fungi.
AAGUCGUAACAAGGUUUCCGUAGGUAAACCUGCGGAAGGAUCAUUAACACGUAUCCAGCGUUAAAACCCCCCGUGAACUUUCAAUCCUGCUCUUGUAACCCGCGUAGUUCGCAAUCUCUGGUAAAUCAUAUUCAGAGACCUCUGGCUACGUGAGAACAAUGGAACAGUUACAAUCGAGCGGUAGUUUCAUAGGCAUUGUUUCCCCAAGCGGAAAGUGUCACUGAUUGUGCAAGGAUAGCGCUUCACGAUUCCUGUCCCCAUAACCCCACAGUUUGGAAAGCUCAAUGUAAUACAUUGGGUAAAAAAACUGAACAACUGUUAACAAUGGAGAACCUUGGUUCUC